CCUUACGGCCACACCACCUUGACAGCUCCCAAUCUUGUGUGAUCUCAGCAGUAACCAGGUUAGGUCAGGCCUGGUUAACGCUAAGAAGAAAGGUGGAACGUCAAGUGAUUUUAAGGA
RNAcentral lists this ribosomal RNA (117 nucleotides) under Mola mola (ocean sunfish). The record is from RNAcentral. Lineage: Eukaryota; Metazoa; Chordata; Actinopteri; Tetraodontiformes; Molidae.